CAGUAGCCGCGGGAAUACGGAGGGUGCAAGCGUUAAUCGGAAUUACUGGGCGUAAAGCGCACGCAGGCGGUCUGACAAGUCAGAUGUGAAAUCCCCGGGCUUAACCUGGGAACUGCAUUUGAAACUGUCAGGCUGGAGUCUUGUAGAGGGGGGUGGAAUUCCAGGUGUAGCGGUGAAAUGCGUAGAGAUCUGGAGGAAUACCGGUGGCGAAGGCGGCCCCCUGGACAAAGACUGACGCUCAGGUGCGAAAGCGUGGGGAGCAAACAGGAUUAGAUACCCCGGUAGUCCCUGUCUCUUAUAA
Molecule: ribosomal RNA, 301 nt
Filed under: uncultured bacterium
Lineage: Bacteria
Description: partial 16S ribosomal RNA
Rfam family: Bacterial small subunit ribosomal RNA
Source: RNAcentral